UAGGGAAUCUUCCGCAAUGGACGCAAGUCUGACGGAGCAACGCCGCGUGAGUGAAGAAGGAUUUCGGUUCGUAAAACUCUGUUGUUAGAGAAGAACAGCGCAUAGAGUAACUGUUAUGCGUGUGACGGUAUCUAACCAGAAAGCCACGGCUAACUGCGUGCCAGCAGCCGCGGUAAUACGUAGGUGGCAAGCGUUGUCCGGAUUUAUUGGGCGUAAAGCGAGCGCAGGCGGUCAAUUAAGUCUGAUGUGAAAGCCCCCGGCUCAACCGGGGAGGGUCAUUGGAAACUGGUUGACUUGAGUGCAGAAGAGGAGAGUGGAAUUCCAUGUGUAGCGGUGAAAUGCGUAGAUAUAUGGAGGAACACCAGUGGCGAAGGCGACUCUCUGGUCUGUAACUGACGCUGAGGCUCGAAAGCGUGGGUAGCAAACAGG
Molecule: ribosomal RNA, 429 nt
Filed under: Bacteroidota bacterium
Lineage: Bacteria; Pseudomonadati; Bacteroidota
Description: Bacteroidetes bacterium partial 16S ribosomal RNA
Rfam family: Bacterial small subunit ribosomal RNA
Source: RNAcentral